Monodelphis domestica (gray short-tailed opossum) is the source of this 1576-nucleotide long non-coding RNA. The record is from Ensembl. Lineage: Eukaryota; Metazoa; Chordata; Mammalia; Didelphimorphia; Didelphidae.
AUGAUGCUCUUCAUGCACAGAACACAGCUCUGGACCCUCCAAGAAAGAACCCCACUGUGACCUCACAGGCCUGAUGAGGAGCGGCGCAGCUCUCACGAGCCCAGAUGCCAGGCUCUUUCUCCCCGUCUCUCCUCUGAAUUCAGAGCUCAGGGAGGGAGCUAGCUGGAGUCUUGAGGAUGAAAGAGAAGAGCCCCUGGGGGCCGGGGCCCUGCUCAGGCCUCCCCAGUGGGCAGCCCAAGGAGAAAGAGGAGAGCUCCUGGCUUCCUUCUCCCCCAGGACUCCCCUCCUUCCCUGGGGGGUGUGGGCCCAGGAUUGCUGCCUGACGAGGUGGGGCGAGAUCUGGAUGUGUGUGCUGGCCUGCUUACCUGUCAGCACAGCCUGGGCUGAGCUCACUGGCCUCUCCGAUUGCAUCAGCUGCAAAGAGAGGGGGCCUACAUCUCAUCCAGGCUGACCUAGAAGAUUGUUUCCAUGAUUUCUGACUCCUCCACAGAGAGCCUGGGGGCAAAAAGGAUGCGCUAGACUGAGGGCUGAGGAGCUAGGCCCUACACGGCCUCUCUGUGUCUCCCUGUAACCGUCCUGUUCCAGGAUUUGACCUGACCGUUCCCCGUCCUCUGGUGCCGUUCUGGGCUGCUUCUCAGGAGCCCCUGGCUAGAAUUCUGCAGGGGCCAAUGUUCUGCUUGGAAGGCAGGCAGGAAGGGAGAGCAGGCGUUUUAUCUUGGCAUCUUUUGAGGUUAGGGCCUGCUAUUGUUUGAGGGAGAGCUGCCUCAUAGCCAAAUUGGGGGGGGGGGAGCCUGGGAAGCCAGGUGUGAAGAUUCUGCCGUGCCCAACACAGGCUGAGCUCACUGGCCUGGGCAGUUGCAUCAGCUUUAGUUGGUGCUGCCAAUCCUUCAGGCUAACAAAGGAUAUUCCCAGAAUCCAUCCAUCAUCGCCUCCUACCCUCUGGUAGGAGGCCUAGCCAGGGGCAAAGGCAGGAGUCUUCUGAGACACAGCAACACAGCAUCUCACCCUGGGAAGGGAUUUGUCUAGCCCAGCCUGAAUCCAAGCAAGAUUCCCUUCUCUAGCAGCACCCUUCCCAGGGAGUCAUCCAACCUUCAACAAAGGGGAUGUCACCACUUCCGCCCCGCCCGCCCCCCAACAUGAGAUGCCACUGGUUUAUGGGACACAUAGCAGCCAAUGAUGAGAGCCCAAGGCUUCCCUACCCAUCCUGAGGCUCGCAACAAACAUAUUGUCCCACAGCUGCCAUCAGAAAGAAGAGCUCUUGAAUUGGCUGAUGGUACCCUUUGUGUGUAUCCUCAGUUUGGUAAAAAAUGGAGAUUUGAACUCCACAUUUCAAUCCCCAGAAGUCCUUGGUACUUCCCAGAAUUCCCUAUAAUCUCAUGUGGACGAGAUCACAAAUUAUUAUUUAAAGGGCUCUCCGCCUACUUCGCUCUCUCUUCCUCAACUUGAAACAUUGCAACAUGUAGUAAGUAAGCUGUAAAUAGGCUGAUCAGCCCUGGGCAUGUGGCUUAUUAUUUUGUAUCCUUGAUUUCUAAUAAUCUUUAAUAAACCUCAUAAAAAUGUAAUACUUUUUUGUAGA